Molecule: ribosomal RNA, 253 nt
Filed under: uncultured bacterium
Lineage: Bacteria
Description: partial 16S ribosomal RNA
Rfam family: Bacterial small subunit ribosomal RNA
Source: RNAcentral
UACGGGGGGGGCAAGCGUUGUUCGGAAUUACUGGGCGUAAAGGGCUCGUAGGCGGCCAACUAAGUCGGAUGUGAAAUCCCCAGGCUCAACUUGGGAACUGCAUCCGAUACUGGAUGGCUUGAAUUCGGGAGAGGGAUGCAGAAUUCCAGGUGUAGCGGUGAAAUGCGUAGAUAUCUGGAGGAACACCGGUGGCGAAGGCGGCAUCCUGGACCGAGACUGACGCUGAGGAGCGAAAGCCAGGGGAGCAAACGGG